Molecule: antisense RNA, 69 nt
Filed under: Actinokineospora bangkokensis
Lineage: Bacteria; Bacillati; Actinomycetota; Actinomycetes; Pseudonocardiales; Pseudonocardiaceae
Description: ASpks TB sRNA
Rfam family: ASpks TB sRNA
Source: Rfam by way of RNAcentral
CUUCACCGAGCCCAGCCGCAGCGGGGUGGCGCGGUCCUGGCCGUAGGUGGCCAGCAGCGCCUGGGCCUC